Molecule: ribosomal RNA, 119 nt
Filed under: Pteropus alecto (black flying fox)
Lineage: Eukaryota; Metazoa; Chordata; Mammalia; Chiroptera; Pteropodidae
Source: RNAcentral
GUCUAUAGCCAUGCCACCCUGAACGUUCCCAAUCUUGUCUGACCUUGGAAGCUAAGCAGGGUCGGGCCUGGUUAAUACUUGGAUGAGAGACCACCAAGGAAUACCAGGUACUGUAGAUG